RNAcentral lists this ribosomal RNA (440 nucleotides) under uncultured bacterium. RNAcentral's name for it is "partial 16S ribosomal RNA". It matches the Rfam family "Bacterial small subunit ribosomal RNA", at positions 338 to 795 of the family's 1533-position model. The record is from RNAcentral.
CCUACGGGUGGCAGCAGUAGGGAAUAUUGCUCAAUGGGGGAAACCCUGAAGCAGCAACGCCGCGUGGAGGAUGAAGGUUUUCGGAUUGUAAACUCCUUUUGUUAGAGAAAAUAAUGACGGUAUCUAACGAAUAAGCACCGGCUAACUCAGUGCCAGCAGCCGCGGUAAUACGGAGGGUGCAAGCGUUACUCGGAUUAACUGGGCGUAAAGAUCGCGUAGACGGGAUAGCAAGUCAGAUGUGAAAGCCUAUGGCUUAACCAUAGAACUGCAUUUGAAACUGGUAGUCUAGAGUAUGGUAGAGGUAGGUGGAAUUCGUGGUGUAGGGGUAAAAUCCGUAGAGAUCAAGAGGAAUACUCAUUGCGAAGGCAACCUGCUAGAACAUAACUGACGCUGAUGCGCGAAAGCGUGGGGAGCAAACAGGAUUAGAUACCCCGGUAGUC